CAGUAGCCGCGGUAAUACGAAGGGGGCUAGCGUUGCCCGGAAUUACUGGGCGUAAAGGGAGCGUAGGCGGGUCGUUUAGUCAGAGGUGAAAUCCCGGGGCUCAACCUCGGAACUGCCUUUGAUACUGGCGACCUUGAGUAUGGGAGAGGUAAGCGGAACUCCGAGUGUAGAGGUGAAAUUCGUAGAUAUUCGGAAGAACACCAGUGGCGAAGGCGGCUUACUGGCCCAUUACUGACGCUGAGGCUCGAAAGCGUGGGGAGCAGACAGGAUUAGAUACCCGAGUAGUCCCUGUCUCUUAUAC
RNAcentral lists this ribosomal RNA (301 nucleotides) under uncultured bacterium. Its description in RNAcentral is "partial 16S ribosomal RNA". It matches the Rfam family "Bacterial small subunit ribosomal RNA", at positions 509 to 807 of the family's 1533-position model. The record is from RNAcentral.